RNAcentral lists this ribosomal RNA (232 nucleotides) under uncultured Neisseriales bacterium. RNAcentral describes it as "partial 16S ribosomal RNA". It matches the Rfam family "Bacterial small subunit ribosomal RNA", at positions 99 to 334 of the family's 1533-position model. Lineage: Bacteria; Pseudomonadati; Pseudomonadota; Betaproteobacteria; Neisseriales. The record is from RNAcentral.
CGAACGGGUGAGUAACAUAUCGGAACGUACCGAGCAGUGGGGGAUAACUAAUCGAAAGAUUAGCUAAUACCGCAUAUCUUCUGAGGAAGAAAGCAGGGGACCAUUUGGCCUUGCGCUGUUUGAGCGGCCGAUAUCUGAUUAGCUAGUUGGUGGGGUAAAGGCCUACCGAGGCGACGAUCAGUAGCGGGUCUGAGAGGAUGAUCCGCCACACUGGGACUGAGACACGGCCCAG